RNAcentral lists this unclassified non-coding RNA (403 nucleotides) under soil metagenome. RNAcentral describes it as "partial contains 5.8S ribosomal RNA, internal transcribed spacer 2, and large subunit ribosomal RNA". The stretch from base 1 to 120 matches the Rfam family "5.8S ribosomal RNA", at positions 35 to 154 of the family's 154-position model. The record is from RNAcentral.
GAUGAAGAACGUAGCGAAAUGCGAUACGUAAUGUGAAUUGCAGAAUUCAGUGAAUCAUCGAAUCUUUGAACGCACCUUGCGCCCUUUGGCAUUCCGAAGGGCAUGCCUGUUUGAGUAUCAUGAACACCUCAACUCUUCAUGGUUUUCCAUGAUGAGCUUGGACUUUGGGGGUCUUGCUGGCCUGCGGUCGGCUCCUCUCAAAUGAAUCAGCUUACCAGUGUUUGGUGGGCAUCACAGGUGUGAUAACUAUCUGCGCUUGUGGUUUUCCACCAAGUAACCUUCAGCAGUGGAGGUUCACUGGAGCUCACAGACGUCUCUCCUCAGUGAGGACAGCCCUUUGAAUGUUUGAUCUCAAAUCAGGUAGGACUACCCGCUGAACUUAAGCAUAUCAAUAAGCGGAGGA